This 253-nucleotide ribosomal RNA is filed under the name uncultured bacterium. RNAcentral describes it as "partial 16S ribosomal RNA". It matches the Rfam family "Bacterial small subunit ribosomal RNA", at positions 524 to 776 of the family's 1533-position model. The record is from RNAcentral.
UACGUAGGGUGCUAGCGUUGUUCGGAAUUAUUGGGCGUAAAGCGCGUGUAGGCGGUCAGAUAAGUCGGGUGUGAAAUACCUGGGCUCAACCGAGGAAGUGCAUCCGAAACUAUCUGGCUAGAAGACGGCAGAGGAAGGUGGAAUUCCUAGUGUAGAGGUGAAAUUCGUAGAUAUUAGGAGGAAUACCGGAGGCGAAGGCGGCCUUCUAGACCGUUCUUGACGCUGAGACGCGAAAGCGUGGGUAGCAAACAGG